AGAUUGAACGCUGGCGGCAUGCCUUACACAUGCAAGUCGAACGCGAAAGUAGGGGGCAACCCCUGCGAGUAGAGUGGCGAACGGGCGAGUAAUACAUCGGAACGUGUCCAGUAGCGGGGGAUAACCUCUCGAAAGAGAGGCUAAUACCGCAUACGACCUACGGGUGAAAGAGGGGGAUUCGCAAGAACCUCUCACUAUUGGAGCGGCCGAUGUCGGAUUAGCUAGUUGGCGGGUAAAAGCCCACCAAGGCUACGAUCCGUAGCUGGUCUGAGAGGACGACCAGCCACACUGGAACUGAGACACGGUCCAGACUCCUACGGGAGGCAGCAGUGGGAAUUUGGACAAUGGGCGCAAGCCUGAUCCAGCCAUGCCGCGUGAGUGAAGAAGGCCUUCGGGUUGUAAAGCUCUUUCGGCGAGACGAAAAGGUCCGUAGUUAAUACCUCGGAUCCAUGACGGUACCCGCAGAAGAAGCACCGCUAACACGUGCCAGCAGCCGCGUAA
RNAcentral lists this ribosomal RNA (501 nucleotides) under uncultured soil bacterium. Its description in RNAcentral is "bacterial SSU rRNA". It matches the Rfam family "Bacterial small subunit ribosomal RNA", at positions 26 to 522 of the family's 1533-position model. The record is from RNAcentral.